GACGAACCGUGCAAACGUUGUUCGGAUUCACUGGGCUUAAAGGGCGCGUAGGCGGGUGGUCAAGUCGGGGGUGAAAUCUUUCAGCUCAACUGGAAAAUAGCUUCCGAUACUGGCCGUCUUGAGGGAGGUAGGGGCAUGUGGAACUUCCGGUGGAGCGGUGAAAUGCGUAGAUAUCGGAAGGAACGCCGGUGGCGAAAGCGACGUGCUGGACCUUUUCUGACGCUGAGGCGCGAAAGCCAGGGGAGCAAACGGG
RNAcentral lists this ribosomal RNA (253 nucleotides) under uncultured bacterium. RNAcentral describes it as "partial 16S ribosomal RNA". It matches the Rfam family "Bacterial small subunit ribosomal RNA", at positions 524 to 776 of the family's 1533-position model. The record is from RNAcentral.